Molecule: transfer RNA, 78 nt
Filed under: Gemmata sp. SH-PL17
Lineage: Bacteria; Pseudomonadati; Planctomycetota; Planctomycetia; Gemmatales; Gemmataceae
Description: tRNA-Ser
Source: RNAcentral
GCGCGCCCCCGAAGGGCAAACUCUUUCCGUGCUUGAAUUGCGGAGCGAAGGUCGAGUUCGAUCCGCGUGAGCGCGCAC